RNAcentral lists this transfer RNA (70 nucleotides) under Helianthus annuus (common sunflower). RNAcentral describes it as "tRNA HanXRQr2_Chr17g0830021". The record is from RNAcentral. Lineage: Eukaryota; Viridiplantae; Streptophyta; Magnoliopsida; Asterales; Asteraceae.
GGCAUUAUAGCCUAGUGGUGGGAUAAGGCUUAUAACCAUUAGGUCAUGGGUUCGAUUCCCACAAAUGGGG